AUAUUUAUUUGGCAAACUACUCGAAAGAGUAGGACGCAAAGCUAAAGGGGCUACAUCUAUUUAUAAAAGAUAUGCCAGCCAGUUGCACUU
RNAcentral lists this non-coding RNA (90 nucleotides) under Bacillus methanolicus. Its description in RNAcentral is "c-di-GMP sequence". It matches the Rfam family "c-di-GMP-I riboswitch aptamer". From Rfam's summary of the family: GEMM was predicted in a large-scale screen for bacterial structured RNA regulatory elements. Genes associated with GEMM are involved in a diverse array of functions, including chemotaxis regulation, signal transduction, secretion and chitin. Lineage: Bacteria; Bacillati; Bacillota; Bacilli; Caryophanales; Bacillaceae. The record is from RNAcentral. RNAcentral also lists the same sequence under 1 other name.